AUGGCGGACCGCGGCGGCGAGCGUGGUGGCGACCGCGGAGGCGAGCGCGGCGGGUUCGGCCGCGGCUUCGGGCGCGGCGGGCGCGGGGACCGUGGCGGGCGCCGCGGCGGCCGUCGUGGCCCUCGCCAGGAGGAGGAGAAGUGGGUGCCCGUCACCAAACUCGGCCGCCUCGUCAAGGAGGGCCGCUUCACCAAGAUGGAGGAGCUCUACCUCCACUCGCUACCCAUCAAGGAGCACCAGAUCGUGGAGCAGCUCUGCCCGGGGCUCAAGGACGAGGUGAUGAAGAUCACCCCCGUGCAGAAGCAGACCCGCGCCGGCCAGCGGACCCGCUUCAAGGCGUUCGUCGUCGUCGGCGACAGCAACGGCCACGUCGGGCUCGGCGUCAAGUGCGCCAAGGAGGUGGCCACGGCCAUCCGCGGCGCCAUCAUCCUCGCAAAGCUCUCCAUCGUGCCCGUUAGGAGGGGCUACUGGGGGAACAAGAUCGGCCUGCCCCACACCGUGCCCUGCAAGGUCACCGGCAAGUGCGGCUCUGUCACCGUGCGCAUGGUGCCCGCCCCGAGGGGUUCUGGAAUCGUCGCCGCGCGCGUCCCCAAGAAGGUGCUCCAGUUCGCUGGUAUUGAUGACGUCUUCACUUCCUCGCGUGGAUCCACCAAGACCCUCGGCAACUUCGUCAAGGCAACCUUCGACUGCCUGAUGAAGACCUAUGGAUUCCUCACCCCUGACUUCUGGAGGGAGACGACCUUCACCAAGGCACCGUACCAGGAGUUCACUGACAUUUUGGCGAAGCCGACGAAGGCCCUGAUGCUUGAUGCACCAGCCGAGAAGAUAGAAGCUUAG
Molecule: ribosomal RNA, 837 nt
Filed under: Triticum aestivum (bread wheat)
Lineage: Eukaryota; Viridiplantae; Streptophyta; Magnoliopsida; Poales; Poaceae
Description: partial small subunit ribosomal RNA
Source: RNAcentral